CAUUAGUCUCCUAAUUAGAGGCUGGAAUGAACGGCGAAACGAGGUAGAAACUGUCUCUAAAAUAAAAAAAUCGAAUUUCAUUUUUAAGUGAAAAAGCUUAAAUUAUUCUAAAGGACGAUCAGACCCUAUAGAGCUUUAAUUAGUUAUUAAGAGAAACUAAUAAGUAAUAUUUCAAUUAAUAGCCUAUUUUUGUUGGGGCGACAAAGAGAUUUAAGUAACACUCUUUUCUUAGAAAUAUACAUAAAUAAACUAUUGAUCCUUAAAGAAAGAUUCAAGACUAAGUUACCUUAGGGAUAACAGCGUAAUCUUUUUAGAGAGUUCAAAUCGAUAAAAAGGGUUGC
This 341-nucleotide ribosomal RNA is filed under the name Diaphanosoma tropicum. Its description in RNAcentral is "partial 16S ribosomal RNA". It matches the Rfam family "Bacterial large subunit ribosomal RNA", at positions 1966 to 2521 of the family's 2925-position model. Lineage: Eukaryota; Metazoa; Arthropoda; Branchiopoda; Diplostraca; Sididae. The record is from RNAcentral.